Molecule: ribosomal RNA, 253 nt
Filed under: uncultured bacterium
Lineage: Bacteria
Description: partial 16S ribosomal RNA
Rfam family: Bacterial small subunit ribosomal RNA
Source: RNAcentral
UACGAAGGGUGCAAGCGUUGUUCGGAUUUACUGGGCGUAAAGCGUCUGUAGGUGGUGCGUUAAGAGGGCGGUGAAAUCCCAGGGCCUAACCCUGGAACUGCCGUUCUGACUGGCGCGCUGGAGCGCAAUAGAGGUGGAUGGAAUAUACGGUGUAGAGGUGACAUUCGUAGAUAUCGUAUAGAACACCAAUGGCGAAGGCAGUCCACUGGAUUGUCGCUGACACUGAGGGACGAAAGCGUGGGUAGCAAACAGA